ACAACCUAUUCACAAAUACCGUGGUAUUGGCUAAAGUGAGUUGCACUUGCAGUACUAGUCUCACCUAGCCGAAAUAUAUAGGCCAGAAAAGCAGACCAUGGCAACAGACUCACAGAGUGUUAUACAAUGCUAAACUAGUCUGAAGUGGGUUGAAAUCCGUGUCACUGGACCCCCCGUUCAUCAAAACCAUAGA
Molecule: unclassified non-coding RNA, 193 nt
Filed under: uncultured Tuberaceae
Lineage: Eukaryota; Fungi; Ascomycota; Pezizomycetes; Pezizales; Tuberaceae
Description: sequence contains ITS2
Source: RNAcentral